This 477-nucleotide ribosomal RNA is filed under the name uncultured organism. RNAcentral's name for it is "partial 16S ribosomal RNA". It matches the Rfam family "Bacterial small subunit ribosomal RNA", at positions 333 to 801 of the family's 1533-position model. The record is from RNAcentral.
ACACUCCUGCGGGAGGCAGCAGUGGGGAAUUUUGGACAAUGGGCGAAAGCCUGAUCCAGCAAUGCCGCGUGAGUGAAGAAGGCCUUCGGGUUGUAAAGCUCUUUUGUCAGGGAAGAAACGGUGAAAGCUAAUAUCUUUUGCUAAUGACGGUACCUGAAGAAUAAGCACCGGCUAACUACGUGCCAGCAGCCGCGGUAAUACGUAGGGUGCAAGCGUUAAUCGGAAUUACUGGGCGUAAAGCGUGCGCAGGCGGUUUUGUAAGUCUGAUGUGAAAUCCCCGGGCUCAACCUGGGAAUUGCAUUGGAGACUGCAAGGCUAGAAUCUGGCAGAGGGGGGUAGAAUUCCACGUGUAGCAGUGAAAUGCGUAGAUAUGUGGAGGAACACCGAUGGCGAAGGCAGCCCCCUGGGUCAAGAUUGACGCUCAUGCACGAAAGCGUGGGGAGCAAACAGGAGUAGAGACCCUUGUAGUCCCAUGAU